UGGAUUGGUGCCUUCGGGAACUCUGACACAGGUGCUGCAUGGCUGUCGUCAGGCUCGUGUCGUGAGAUGUUGGGUUAAGUCCCGUAACGAGCGCAACCCUUGUCCUUAGUUACCAGCACGUUAUGGUGGGCACUCUAAGGAGACUGCCGGUGACAAACCGGAGGAAGGUGGGGAUGACGUCAAGUCAUCAUGGCCCUUACGGCCUGGGCUACACACGUGCUACAAUGGUCGGUACAAAGGGUUGCCAAGCCGCGAGGUGGAGCUAAUCCCAUAAAACCGAUCGUAGUCCGGAUCGCAGUCUGCAACUCGACUGCGUGAAGUCGGAAUCGCUAGUAAUCGUGAAUCAGAAUGUCACGGUGAAUACGUUCCCGGGCCUU
RNAcentral lists this ribosomal RNA (377 nucleotides) under uncultured Pseudomonas sp. RNAcentral's name for it is "bacterial SSU rRNA". It matches the Rfam family "Bacterial small subunit ribosomal RNA", at positions 1007 to 1382 of the family's 1533-position model. Lineage: Bacteria; Pseudomonadati; Pseudomonadota; Gammaproteobacteria; Pseudomonadales; Pseudomonadaceae. The record is from RNAcentral.